CCUACGGGAGGCAGCAGUGGGGAAUAUUGGACAAUGGGCGAAAGCCCGAUCCAGCAAUGCCGCGUGAGUGAUGAAGGCCUUCGGGUCGUAAAGCUCUUUUACCAGGGAUGAUAAUGACAGUACCUGGAGAAUAAGCUCCGGCUAACUCCGUGCCAGCAGCCGCGGUAAUACGGAGGGAGCUAGCGUUGUUCGGAAUUACUGGGCGUAAAGAGUACGUAGGCGGUUAUUCAAGUCAGAGGUGAAAGCCCGGGGCUCAACCCCGGAACUGCCUUUGAAACUAGAUAACUAGAGUCUUGGAGAGGUUAGUGGAAUUCCGAGUGUAGAGGUGAAAUUCGUAGAUAUUCGGAAGAACACCAGUGGCGAAGGCGACUAACUGGACAAGUACUGACGCUGAGGUACGAAAGCGUGGGGAGCAAACAGGAUUAGAUACCCUGGUAGUCCACGCCGUAAACGAUGAUAACUAGUUGUUCGGUCACUUGGUGACUGAGUGACGCAGCUAACGCAUUAAGUUAUCCGCCUGGGGAGUACGGUCGCAAGAUUAAAACUCAAAGGAAUUGACGG
This 561-nucleotide ribosomal RNA is filed under the name uncultured bacterium. Its description in RNAcentral is "bacterial SSU rRNA". It matches the Rfam family "Bacterial small subunit ribosomal RNA", at positions 338 to 916 of the family's 1533-position model. The record is from RNAcentral.